GUGAACGCUGGCGGUGUGUCUAAGACAUGCAAGUCGAGUGCCCGCAAGGGCACGGCGAACGGCUGCGUAACACGUCGGAACCUACCCCGGAUUCAGGGAUAACCCGGAGAAAUUCGGGCUAAUACCGGAUGGUCUCGUAAGAGUAAAGAUUUAUCGGUCCGGGAGGGGCCUGCGGCCUAUCAGCUUGUUGGUGAGGUAAUGGCUCACCAAGGCAAUGACGGGUAGCUGGACUGAGAGAUCGACCAGCCAGAAUGGAACUGAGACACGGUCCAUACUCCUACGGGAGGCAGCAGUUAUGAAUCUUCCGCAAUGGGGGAAACCCUGACGGAGCGACACCGCGUGGAGGACGAAACCCUUUUUGGGCGUAAACUCCUGUUCUGAGGGAAGAAAUUUUGACGGUACCUCAGGAGAAAGCACCGGCUAAUUCCGU
RNAcentral lists this ribosomal RNA (430 nucleotides) under uncultured bacterium. RNAcentral's name for it is "partial 16S ribosomal RNA". It matches the Rfam family "Bacterial small subunit ribosomal RNA", at positions 29 to 506 of the family's 1533-position model. The record is from RNAcentral.